UCCAUUUAAUUAUAUAAAAACCAAGACUAUGUCUCUCUUUAAGACUUUAACACACUUUCUCUCUCAAACCACCACCACAGUGUUGCCACCACCGCCACCGCCUAAAACCACUACUAUGCUCCCAUUACCCACCCUACCUUUCUUUCUCUAACCACCGCACCACCAAUUCCAAUCUCUAAAACCUUUCAAUCGACUCAUACAAAUACAAAUACCUUUCAAUCGAGCCAUAAAUCUCUAAAACAUUUGGGAUCUUUGAGAACAGUAGAUCUAAAAGCUAACAACCACCUUGCCAAAACUUUUGGGUUCUUUGAGGGCAGAUCGUUGCAAGUCUUUGUAGAAGAUUGGAUACCUUUCAAACAAAACAAGUGGUUAUUUAUGUUCUCACUCCAUUAUUGUCCAGAACUCCUAAUGGAUCAAGAAAUUCAAAGCCACCUUUCUAGUUUCUUGAUGCAAUCUUUGGUCCAGGAAUGUACUAAUGUGAAUCAUCGAUUAAGUAUCACAGUUUAUGGUUUUGAAUCUGAAGGGUUUCAGAUUUGAGGCAGGUUUAUAAUUUCCUAGAUCUACAAGGGUUUCAUAUCUGAGGAGAAAGUGGAUGUUUAGAUAGACUUUAGGUUUAUGUUUGUAUAUAUAUUGUUAAUGUUAAUAUAAUAGGUAAAAUUACUCCA
Long non-coding RNA from Helianthus annuus (common sunflower), 665 nucleotides. RefSeq lists it as uncharacterized. NCBI's taxonomy places the organism in Eukaryota, Viridiplantae, Streptophyta, Magnoliopsida, Asterales, Asteraceae. The record is from RefSeq and is a predicted model, not a curated record. The transcript has 2 exons.